RNAcentral lists this ribosomal RNA (243 nucleotides) under uncultured bacterium. RNAcentral describes it as "partial 16S ribosomal RNA". It matches the Rfam family "Bacterial small subunit ribosomal RNA", at positions 534 to 776 of the family's 1533-position model. The record is from RNAcentral.
GCUAGCGUUGUUCGGAAUCACUGGGCGUAAAGCGCACGUAGGCGGAUCUUUAAGUCAGGGGUGAAAUCCCGAGGCUCAACCUCGGAACUGCCUUUGAUACUGGGGAUCUCGAGUCCGGGAGAGGUGAGUGGAACUGCGAGUGUAGAGGUGAAAUUCGUAGAUAUUCGCAAGAACACCAGUGGCGAAGGCGGCUCACUGGCCCGGAACUGACGCUGAGGUGCGAAAGCGUGGGGAGCAAACAGG